RNAcentral lists this long non-coding RNA (1021 nucleotides) under Panax ginseng (ginseng). RNAcentral describes it as "long non-coding RNA (PGIN_LNC004829)". The record is from RNAcentral. Lineage: Eukaryota; Viridiplantae; Streptophyta; Magnoliopsida; Apiales; Araliaceae.
GAUAAACAUGUAAAUGCAUAAAUAUUACAUACAAUACUAAUAUCAAUAUCACUUAAUUACUCAUAUAUUCAAAUUGAAUCAUAAAACCAAAAAUUCUCUUAUUAAAUCAAAUUACCAAACCCAAAAAUCUUUUUAACAAACCAAAUUACCAAAUCCGAAAAUCUAAUUCAUCACACCAAAUCCAAAAAUCUCAUUCAUCCACACAAAACCCAGAUCUUCUCGAAGAACAUCAUCCCCAACGAACAAUCAGAUCAAUACAAUCAGAUCAACAACCAACUCCAACCUCCAAACAAAUCCUAACCUCUACCACCACCGUCUCGCCACCUCUCACCAUCAACAAGCCUUCAGUCAUCGGUUCACCACCAAGGCGACCCCGAUCCACGCGCCUCUACCCGUUGUCCCGACGAUAAUUCAACCCAGUCUGUCUUCUACCGUUCUUGCACCAGGAGGGAGCCCUAAAGUUAUAUCCUGCGAGGAUGACGACGCUGAGGCCGAUGGCUUUAGUGAUGGCGCGUUUUGUUCCCAGCCUGUUCCAAAAUCUACGUCGUCGUUUCAUGCGUUAAAUCCUUUCUCUACUGCUACCGGUCCAAUUACAUUGGAGAAUGAGUGCGAUCCGAGCAGAUCUAGGGUUAAUAGUUCAAUUGAAUGUCGUGAACGAAAGGGGUGAACCUAUUUAGGAGAGAGAAAGGGGUGAUGGUGAUGAUGAUGGUGAAAGGAAAAGAGAGGAGAAUAAGAUGCAGUAAUUACAUGAUGGAAUAUACUUAAAGAAAAGAGGUGGUUGAUAAUGAAGAUGAUGAAUCAAAAAAGAACGAAAGAACAGAUACAAAAACCCUGGAUUAAUGGAAGAAUCAAAUAUUAGAUAUAUCAUUUUAGGUUUAGAUAUAUUUUAUGUUAAUUUAUUAAUGUUAUUUAUUGUUUAACUAUUUUGCCCCUUAUUAAAUCAGAUUUGUUUAUUUUAUUAUUAAAAAACUAUUUUUUUUGCCACAUCAGCUUCUUAAGACCCCACACAAUUAGUUACGUC